CAAUAGCCGACUAUUAAGAUUUUGACCCUGUACCAUUAUUCUCAGUUUAUGUGGUGCUGGGAAUCAAAUCCAGGACUUUGUUUAUACUAGGCAAGCACUGUACCCAUUAAAUCACAUCCCCGGCCCAAGUCCUUAGUUUAAAGGAAAAAAAAAAAAGUGUGUUGCCAUCUUGUAAUUUAACCUAUAAAGAUUAGACUCAAUAUAGAUGUUUUUACAGAUUAUUUACAAAAGUUUCUAAUAUUAGAAAUGACACGAGCUCGGGAGAUGGUUUAGUGGAAACAAACUCUUACUCUGCAAACAUUAGGCUCCCAAGAAGCUGUCCUAAACUCUCUUUUUUAUGGGUGUGUGUCUAGAAUUCCUUUUUAAAGCUCUCUCGAGUUUUAUGUGGAUGUAGUCAGCCCAUAUUGGCGCUAUGUAGGCCCAGCUGGCUUUGAAUUCACAGAUGCUGCUGACUCUACUCCUGAAUAUUAAAGGUGUGUGCCACCAUGCCUGGUGGUUCAUUUCUUUUUUUUCCCUCAUUUUUCAUUAGCAUGAAGGAGAAAAAAGAACUCUUUUGUGGAAUUUUGUGCAUAAGUGUGCAUGUGUGCAUGUGCACACACACACAUACACACACACACACAACUCUGUGUAUGUAAUGGACUUCCUUAUGUAGUCCAUACUAACCUGGAUCUUGUGGCAAAUUUCCUGCCUCAGCCUGUCAGCUGCUGGGAAGGCAGGUGUGAGCCACCAUCCCCAGAUCACACUUGACUCAGUAUGUCCCCUCUGAAGACAGAAGGCAGGUGUGAGCCACCAUCCCCAGAUCACACUGGACUCAGUAUGUCCCCCCUGAAGACGGAAGGCAGGUGUGAGCCACCAUCCCCA
Long non-coding RNA from Alexandromys fortis (reed vole), 861 nucleotides. RefSeq lists it as uncharacterized. The transcript has 3 exons. Lineage: Eukaryota; Metazoa; Chordata; Mammalia; Rodentia; Cricetidae. The record is from RefSeq and is a predicted model, not a curated record.